AAUCUCAUCUACAAUACUCCCAAAAUUGGUUUUAAUCUCUCUCUCUUUUAUCUUUCAGAGUUCUAACCAGAUCCAAAAACAAUCCUUUUCAACUUCAAUAUAGGUCAGACAACAAUCCUUCAAUAUAGUUCAAAUCAUAGUUAAUUACUUUUAUCCUUCAAUAUAUGACAAUAGAACGAAUCCUUCGAAUGAAAGGUGGUGUGGGAGAAACAAGCUAUGCAAAUAACUCCUUAUUACAGAGAAAAGUAAUAAUGAAAGUGAAGACCAUAAUGGAAGAGAAUUUGAAACUUUUUAUGUCCAACAUAACUUCUGAUGAUUGUUGGAAAAUAGUCGAUUUAGGUUGCUCUUCAGGACCAAAUACACUUAUAGCCAUCUAUAAUAUCCUGAACAUCAUCUAUAAAAUUUGUUUGAAGUUAAAUCACGGGACACCUAUGUUUCAAAUUUAUGUCAAUGAUUUGUUUGAAAAUGAUUUCAAUACCAUUUUCAAGUUACUCCCUGAUUUCUACCAAAUUAUACAACAAGAACGAGGACACAAUGUUGGAGCAUGUUUCAUAAAUGCAACACCAGGAAAUUUUUAUGGACGACUCUUUCCCAAUAAUUAUAUUAACAUUUUUCAUUCCUCUUAUUGUCUCCAUUGGCUAUCACAGGCACCGAAAGAUUCAACCACGGAAGCAGAGCCACUGAACAAAGGAAAUAUUUGUGUAACAAAAACAAGUCCUCCAUCAGUAUAUAAUGCAUAUUUUGAGCAAUUUCAAAUAGAUUUCAAACAUUUUUUAAAGUCACGCUUUAAGGAACUAGCAUCGGGUGGCUUGAUGGUAUUAACUUUCCUUAGCAGGGAAACAAAGUAUGAAAUCACUUCUUGCGAGGUACUUAGCACGGUUCUUAAUGAGAUGGUACAAGAGGGUUUGGUUGAAGAGACAAAGUUGGACUUGUUUAAUUUGCCUAUAUAUUAUCCUACAAUAAAAGAAGUUAGACAAGUGAUUAAGGAAGAAGGGUCUUUUACCCUUCAAACAUUGAAGACUUUUAAGAUAGGAUGGGAUGCAAACCUUCAAGAAGAUAGAGUUGAUUUUGUUGUUGAUAACAAUAUGAGAGGAAAGUUCAUAGCCAAAUAUCAUAGAGCUAUUUUUGAACCUCUUUUAGUUGUAGAGUUUGGUGAAAAUAUAUUGGAUGAAAUCUUCUCAAGGUUUGCAAAGUUGGUUGCACAACUUAUGGAGUUAGAGAGACUAGAAUAUACUAAUAUUGUAUUGUUCAUGACCAAGGAUCUUUAAAAAAUAAAAUAUCUUGGAUAAGGAUUUGCUUAUAGGAACCUUCUCUCACGGUUAAUCCCAUGUCGAAGCUAUGAUGAAGUGGUAAUUUACUGGAAUUAAACUCACAUAUAAAUGUGAGAUCCCGGGUCAUGACUUCCGGCCUAAUAAUUUCGACAUUUUGUCAGUUGAGCUAGGACUUAUGGGACGACUGAUAUAGGUUCUACUACACAUUUUAUUGUUAUUGACAUUACACACAUGUUAUUGUUAAUGCCAUAUUAGAGUGGUGUGAAAAAUGGUCCAAAUGUCAUAUUAUAUAAGUGUCAUCAUAUGAGAGUGGUCUUAUUUGAGUGUGUAUUUCUGGAUCCUACCGUGUAUAGGAUUCUAAUAUAGUUGUAAUUGGGUUGUUUUAUC
Molecule: RNA transcript, 1658 nt
Organism: Trifolium pratense (red clover)
Lineage: Eukaryota; Viridiplantae; Streptophyta; Magnoliopsida; Fabales; Fabaceae
Gene name: xanthosine methyltransferase 2-like
Exons: 5
Source: RefSeq, a predicted model, not a curated record